CAAAAUUUACUCAGUGAUACUUUUCAGAAAAAAACCAAAAGUGAGGGUCGUUUGGUGCUAUUGACUUCCACAAAUGUCCUUGGUGUUUAUUUUAGAAACAAAAUUAAAUAGUAUUAAUGAAAACUAAAUAAAAUUAAAUACUAAAAAAUAACUAAAAUAAAAAAAUAAUAAAAACACCAAUAAUUCUAUUUAAUUUUUCUUGAU
RNAcentral lists this long non-coding RNA (204 nucleotides) under Lathyrus oleraceus (garden pea). RNAcentral's name for it is "Pisum sativum (pea) long non-coding RNA (PSAT_LNC013733)". Lineage: Eukaryota; Viridiplantae; Streptophyta; Magnoliopsida; Fabales; Fabaceae. The record is from RNAcentral.